UCCCUGGUGGUCUAGUGGUUAGGAUUCUGAGCUUUCACUGCCAAGGAUGCAGGAUCAAUCCCUGCUUGGGGAA
Molecule: transfer RNA, 73 nt
Filed under: Bos taurus (domestic cattle)
Lineage: Eukaryota; Metazoa; Chordata; Mammalia; Artiodactyla; Bovidae
Also listed under: 5 other names
Rfam family: tRNA
About the family: Transfer RNA (tRNA) molecules are approximately 80 nucleotides in length.
Source: Rfam by way of RNAcentral